AGAGUUUGAUCCUGGCUCAGGACGAACGCUGGCGGCGUGCCUAAUACAUGCAAGUCGAACGCUUUUUCUUUCACCGGAGCUUGCUCCACCGAAAGAAAAGGAGUGGCGAACGGGUGAGUAACACGUGGGUAACCUGCCCAUCAGAAGGGGAUAACACUUGGAAACAGGUGCUAAUACCGUAUAACAAGUAAAACCGCAUGGUUUUACUUUGAAAGGCGCUUUUGCGUCACUGAUGGAUGGACCCGCGGUGCAUUAGCUAGUUGGUGAGGUAACGGCUCACCAAGGCAACGAUGCAUAGCCGACCUGAGAGGGUGAUCGGCCACAUUGGGACUGAGACACGGCCCAAACUCCUACGGGAGGCAGCAGUAGGGAAUCUUCGGCAAUGGACGAAAGUCUGACCGAGCAACGCCGCGUGAGUGAAGAAGGUUUUCGGAUCGUAAAACUCUGUUGUUAGAGAAGAACAAGGAUGAGAGUAAAAUGUUCAUCCCUUGACGGUAUCUAACCAGAAAGCCACGGCUAACUACGUGCCAGCAGCCGCGGUAAUACGUAGGUGGCAAGCGUUGUCCGGAUUUAUUGGGCGUAAAGCGAGCGCAGGCGGUUUCUUAAGUCUGAUGUGAAAGCCCCCAGCUCAACCGGGGAGGGUCAUUGGAAACUGGGAAACUUGAGUGCAGAAGAGGAGAGUGGAAUUCCAUGUGUAGCGGUGAAAUGCGUAGAUAUAUGGAGGAACACCAGUGGCGAAGGCGGCUCUCUGGUCUGUAACUGACGCUGAGGCUCGAAAGCGUGGGGAGCAAACAGGAUUAGAUACCCUGGUAGUCC
RNAcentral lists this ribosomal RNA (816 nucleotides) under uncultured bacterium. RNAcentral's name for it is "bacterial SSU rRNA". It matches the Rfam family "Bacterial small subunit ribosomal RNA", at positions 8 to 796 of the family's 1533-position model. The record is from RNAcentral.